AAUAAAUGUGGUUUUACACUGUUAAUGUCUAAUGUUUGGUCGUUCGUUUUAUUUAAAAAAAUUUAUGAUUAGUAUUUUUAUUGUUAUUAGAUAAUAAAACAUGAAUAAUACUCUAUGUGUGACUAUCUUUUUAAAAAAAAUUAUAUUUUUUUUAAAUAAGACGGACGGUCGUGGAUAUGGAUAUCCACGGCUAAGCUUAUU
Oryza sativa Japonica Group (Japanese rice) is the source of this 201-nucleotide microRNA precursor. It matches the Rfam family "MIR812 microRNA precursor family". Lineage: Eukaryota; Viridiplantae; Streptophyta; Magnoliopsida; Poales; Poaceae. The record is from Rfam.